GAAAUCGCCUGCUCGUUCUUCAUCCCUUCGACUCUCCGCAGCACAAAAGCGGGAGGCGGCGACUUGCCCUCCUCCUGUGCCAGGGUCAACCACGCCUGCCUUUCCAAUUCGGCAUCAUCCUCAACGAUGACCCCCUCCCACUCGAAGAUGACGCCGAGCCACCAGCAGCACAUGCGCUCGAGGCGGAGCAGCUGGUUGUGCAGUGGGUUACCUUGCUAACUACAAAAUAUAAGUCCAGAUGGCAGGUAAUAAGCUAGCUGAUGUAAACAAAAGGAAAUAAGAAAUGGCAGCCGUGCAGACAAUCAAGCCCCAGAAUGAGACACUGGAGAUGUCGUAAAUUGUCCGUCUUUGAACGCGUGAAUGUACUGUUGGGGCAAGGAAUGCUCGGCCUGCAAAAGUUUUAGCAAAAAUGAGAGAAUGGUCAAGACCAGCGUAUAUAUAUUUUUUAUACAGAAAAAAACUAUGGUCUCCUUUCAGUUCAAUUUCGCCAUGUUCUCCCAGAAUGGUUUGUGUAAGUGCUGGAUGGUGAAAUAUGAAGUUGAGAGCCUUGGAAAAGCAAAAGUGGAACCAAAGUUUCAGUUUACUUAAUUAAAAUUUCAGAUGGCAGGUAAUAAGCUAGCUGAUGUAAACAAAAGGAAAUAAGAAAUGGUGAAAAUUUUGACCCGUUCUAAUAUCUAGUUACCUUGCUAACUACAAAAUAUAAGUCUAGAUGGCAGGUAAUAAGCUAGCUGAUGUAAACAAAAGGAAAUAAGAAAUGGCAGCCGUGCAGACAAUCAAGCCCCAGAAUGAGACACUGGAGAUGUCGUAAAUUGUCCGUCUUUGAACGCGUGAAUGUACUGCUGGGGCAAGGAAUGCUCGGCCUGCAAAAGUUUUAGCAAAAAUGAGAGAAUGGUCAAGACCAACGUAUAUAUAUUUUUUAUACAGAAAGAAACUAUGGUCUUCUUUCAGUUCAAUUCGCCAUGUUCUCCCAGAAUGGUUUGUGUAAGUGCUGGAUGGUGAAAUAUGAAAUUGAGAGCCUUGGAAAAGCAAAAGUGGAACCAAAGUUUCAGUUUGGGGUCAUCUGCCCUGUUCCGCGGAGGCCAUGACGGCGUGGGGCUGGUGACCCCAACGUCCCCCAUGUCGCCACCAUCCCCGGGGAUCCCCCGAUACUCCCUGCGAGGGCU
RNAcentral lists this long non-coding RNA (1163 nucleotides) under Zea mays. RNAcentral describes it as "long non-coding RNA (ZMAY_LNC000071)". The record is from RNAcentral. Lineage: Eukaryota; Viridiplantae; Streptophyta; Magnoliopsida; Poales; Poaceae.